GAUGAACGCUGGCGGCGUGCCUAAUACAUGCAAGUCGAGCGAACAGACGAGGAGCUUGCUCCUCUGACGUUAGCGGCGGACGGGUGAGUAACACGUGGAUAACCUACCUAUAAGACUGGGAUAACUUCGGGAAACCGGAGCUAAUACCGGAUAAUAUAUUGAACCGCAUGGUUCAAUAGUGAAAGACGGUUUUGCUGUCACUUAUAGAUGGAUCCGCGCCGCAUUAGCUAGUUGGUAAGGUAACGGCUUACCAAGGCAACGAUGCGUAGCCGAACUGAUAGGGUGGUCGGCCACACUGGAACUUAGACACGGUCCAGACUCCUACGGUAGGCAGCAGUAGGGAAUCUUCCGCAAUAGGCGAAAGCUUGACGGAGCAACGCCGCGUGAGUGAUGGAGGUCUUCGGAUCGUAAAACUCUGUUAUGAGGGAAGAACAAAUGUGUAAGUAACUAUGCACGUCUUGACGGUACCUAAUCAGAAAGCCACGGCUAACUACGUG
Molecule: ribosomal RNA, 497 nt
Filed under: uncultured bacterium
Lineage: Bacteria
Description: partial 16S ribosomal RNA
Rfam family: Bacterial small subunit ribosomal RNA
Source: RNAcentral